CCGUUCAACUCGUUCCUCCUUGGAGAGGAACUACGGGAG
Non-coding RNA from Mesorhizobium loti, 39 nucleotides. Lineage: Bacteria; Pseudomonadati; Pseudomonadota; Alphaproteobacteria; Hyphomicrobiales; Phyllobacteriaceae. The record is from Rfam.